This 465-nucleotide ribosomal RNA is filed under the name uncultured bacterium. RNAcentral describes it as "partial 16S ribosomal RNA". It matches the Rfam family "Bacterial small subunit ribosomal RNA", at positions 338 to 795 of the family's 1533-position model. The record is from RNAcentral.
CCUACGGGAGGCAGCAGUAGGGAAUCUUCCACAAUGGGCGAAAGCCUGAUGGAGCAACGCCGCGUGGGUGAAGAAGGUCUUCGGAUCGUAAAACCCUGUUGUUAGAGAAGAAAGUGCGUGAGAGUAACUGUGCACGUUUCGACGGUAUCUAACCAGAAAGCCACGGCUAACUACGUGCCAGCAGCCGCGGUAAUACGGAGGUGGCAAGCGGUAUACGGAUUUAUUGGGCGUAAAGGGCACGCAGGCGGUCUUUUAAGUCUGAUGGGAAAGCCUUCGGCUUAACCGGAGUAGUGCAUUGGAAACUGGGAGACUUGAGUGCGGGAGAGGAGAGUGGAACGCCAUGUGUAGCGGUGAAAUGCGUAGAUAUAUGGAAGAACACCAGUGGCGAAGGCGGCUCUCUGGUCUGUAACUGACGCUGAGGUUCGAAAGCGUGGGUAGCAAACAGGAUUAGAUACCCGGGUAGUC